AUAUGUUAACUUGAACUAACAUAGAACUUCUGGUUUCUUUCUUGUAGGAAAGUGACUAUUUUACCCCACAGGGAGAAUUCCGUGUAGACAAAGCAGGAUCCCCUACUUUGUUGAAUUGCCUUAUGUAUAAAAUGUCAUACUACAGAUUUGGAGAAAUGCAGCUGGAUUUUCGUACACCCCCAGGUUUUGACCGAACACGUAAUGCUGAGAUUGGAAAUAAGGACAUUAAAUUCAAACAUUUGGAAGAAGCCUUUACAUCAGAACACUGGCUUGUUAGGAUAUAUAAAGUAAAAGCACCUGAUAACAGGGAGACAUUAGAUCACAAACCUCGAGUCACCAACAUUUUCCCAAAACAGAAGUAUUUGUCAAAGAAGACUACCAAAAGGAAGCGUGGCUACAUUAAAAAUAAGCUGGUUUUUAAGAAAGGCAAGAAAAU
This 436-nucleotide small RNA is filed under the name Pan troglodytes (chimpanzee). RNAcentral's name for it is "retained intron". Lineage: Eukaryota; Metazoa; Chordata; Mammalia; Primates; Hominidae. The record is from RNAcentral.